This is a long non-coding RNA of Anneissia japonica, 383 nucleotides long. RefSeq lists it as uncharacterized. NCBI's taxonomy places the organism in Eukaryota, Metazoa, Echinodermata, Crinoidea, Comatulida, Comatulidae. The record is from RefSeq and is a predicted model, not a curated record. The transcript is spliced from 4 exons.
UCGGGAUUGGUGUGGCAGCAUGGUGGCAGGUAUGCGAAGAUUGCUGGGCAUAGAAAGUUGAUAUUUUCGUAAAAUCCCACUUUUUGUACGGCUCAACAUCAAGAUAUGGUGUGUUCAAUAUAUAAGGGACCUACGGUUUGAAUUUGGUUAAGAGUGUUAAGAAGCAGUGGUGUUUAUUUUCAUGAAGAGUAUAUAAAAAUUGGUAACAACACAAGAAUACCAGAUGCUGAGUGGUAUGUUGGCAAGCAGGCAGAUAGACAUAGUGACAAGUUAAGUAGCAGUGGUGUUGAGCUUAACGAAAAAUGCUUUGAUUCUUUUCAUUUAUUUGCAUAUUCCACCAGACCAGCAGUCCUCAUUACAAGGCAGAGAAAUGAUGAAUAUUC